Molecule: unclassified non-coding RNA, 360 nt
Filed under: uncultured fungus
Lineage: Eukaryota; Fungi
Description: sequence contains ITS1
Rfam family: 5.8S ribosomal RNA (bases 1-102)
Source: RNAcentral
AAAAUGUGAUAAUUGAUGUGAAUUGCAGACUAUGAGAAUCAUCGAAACUUUGAACGCUAAUGUGCCUUCAAAUUUUUUGAAGGCGGGCCUAUUUGAGUGUCGACCUUAUUUCUUACCCUAAAAAAUAAAAGGGUAAAUCUUGGCUCUCUUGAAAGCUGUUUUUAGCAUUUAAGUCUGCUCAAAUUCAAGCUAAUUUACUUGCUGCUUAGUUUGCUCUAGCUAGGCUAUUAUAUGGCAUACAAGGGCUAAACGUGGGCAAUUAAGCAAGUAAUUUUAACUUAGUUUUUUCAGCUUAGCAAAUUUUUUUUUUGCUUUACCUUUUUCGACCUCAGAUUAGACCAGACUACCCGCUGAAUUUAA